This is a long non-coding RNA of Sycon ciliatum, 449 nucleotides long. RefSeq lists it as uncharacterized. The transcript has 3 exons. The record is from RefSeq and is a predicted model, not a curated record. NCBI's taxonomy places the organism in Eukaryota, Metazoa, Porifera, Calcarea, Leucosolenida, Sycettidae.
UGCAAUGUACACUAAAACAAAUUUGAACUUUAUGUCGGUUCAAUCAUGAUUAAACUGUUACCAUGCAGUGCACCUCUAUGUUCUCCUUUGUUUGCACCCCAUUCUACCUAUUCAGUAUUCAGUACUAUUAGCUUGCAGACUCACACUACUGUGUAAGUGGCCGUAUCUGACCGAGUCUCCUGUCUCUUGCUUUCUGUGGAUACGUGCUGGUGUAUGCAAAUUCUGGCGGCUGUCUCGAGCUUGGAUGUGCGCGCAUGUAUGUCCCCAGGUUGAAGCUGACGCCAAUACCUGCAGUCAGUAACGGAAUUGUGCUUCAAUGUGGCUCCUCACCCGGCAGCAACUAUCGGAUUCUCACAAGGGAUCUAGCCAACGGCGCAGAAUGUGUGAACAGCAGCAGCAGCAGCAGCAGCAGCAGCAGGAGGAGGAGGAGGAGAAUCCAGGAGAAGAGG